UACCUACCUACCUACCAGACAAGAAAAGUGC
This 31-nucleotide non-coding RNA is filed under the name Rattus norvegicus (Norway rat). The record is from RNAcentral. Lineage: Eukaryota; Metazoa; Chordata; Mammalia; Rodentia; Muridae.